GCCGCUUCCUGUGGGAAGACAUUUAAAAAGUCCGAAGAAGCAAAGGCUGAAGGAAUGAAUACAGACUUCCUUAAAACAACAUGUCCAGACUGACUUCAGCCCUUCAUGUAGAAGACUCUCCCCGGUCUGAGAAGAGCAGCUAUAUUUGAAUUUGCAAUAAAAGAACUUCCUAUGUGGU
This is a long non-coding RNA of Mastomys coucha (southern multimammate mouse), 178 nucleotides long. RefSeq lists it as uncharacterized. The transcript has 2 exons. NCBI's taxonomy places the organism in Eukaryota, Metazoa, Chordata, Mammalia, Rodentia, Muridae. The record is from RefSeq and is a predicted model, not a curated record.